UACGUGGGGCGCAAGCGUUGUCCGGAAUUAUUGGGCGUAAAGAGCUCGUAGGCGGUCUGUUACGUCCGCUGUGAAAACCCAGGGCUUAACCCUGGGCUUGCAGUGGAUACGGGUAGACUAGAGGCAGGUAGGGGAGAAUGGAAUUCCCGGUGUAGCGGUGAAAUGCGCAGAUAUCGGGAGGAACACCGGUGGCGAAGGCGGUUCUCUGGGCCUGACCUGACGCUGAGGAGCGAAAGCGUGGGGAGCGAACAGG
Molecule: ribosomal RNA, 253 nt
Filed under: uncultured bacterium
Lineage: Bacteria
Description: partial 16S ribosomal RNA
Rfam family: Bacterial small subunit ribosomal RNA
Source: RNAcentral